Molecule: ribosomal RNA, 429 nt
Filed under: uncultured bacterium
Lineage: Bacteria
Description: bacterial SSU rRNA
Rfam family: Bacterial small subunit ribosomal RNA
Source: RNAcentral
UGGGGAAUUUUGGACAAUGGGCGCAAGCCUGAUCCAGCCAUGCCGCGUGAGUGAAGAAGGCCUUCGGGUUGUAAAGCUCUUUUGUCCGGGAGCAAAUCCUGCGUCCUAAUACGGCGUAGGGAUGAGAGUACUGGAAGAAUAAGCACCGGCUAACUACGUGCCAGCAGCCGCGGUAAUACGUAGGGUGCGAGCGUUAAUCGGAAUUACUGGGCGUAAAGCGUGCGCAGGUGGUUUUGUAAGCCAGAUGUGAAAUCCCCGGGCUUAACCUGGGAAUGGCAUUUGGGACUGCAAGGCUAGAGUGUGGCAGAGGGGGGUGGAAUUCCGCGUGUAGCAGUGAAAUGCGUAGAGAUGCGGAGGAACACCGAUGGCGAAGGCAGCCCCCUGGGCUAACACUGACACUCAUGCACGAAAGCGUGGGGAGCAAACAGG